Molecule: unclassified non-coding RNA, 212 nt
Filed under: soil metagenome
Description: partial contains 5.8S ribosomal RNA, internal transcribed spacer 2, and large subunit ribosomal RNA
Source: RNAcentral
AACGAGGCCGACCUGCGGCUGAGUUACCUGCGGAAGGAUCAUUACAACUUCAGGCCCCCUCGGGGGCCGCCUGUUCUUCAGGUGUUCUUGUUCUUUGUACCAUUGUUGCCUCGGCGGGCUUGCCCGCCGGCAGAGGCCCCCUAUAAACCCUUUGUGUGAGCAGUAUCAGUCUGAAAACAAAAACAAUAAUCAAAACUUUUAACAACGGAUCU